Molecule: long non-coding RNA, 1877 nt
Organism: Astyanax mexicanus (Mexican tetra)
Lineage: Eukaryota; Metazoa; Chordata; Actinopteri; Characiformes; Acestrorhamphidae
Exons: 2
Source: RefSeq, a predicted model, not a curated record
CACACAUUCCCCACUUCUCUUUUGUUGUUGCGCUUCUCCCACACACACAGAGAAACUUGGACCGCAGAGCUUCCAUUCGCUAAACCUAACACUGUCAACAGACUCGAAAUGGAUUAGCUGCCACAACUGCGUGUUUUCUUAAGGCCUUAAUCAGGAAGCGCCGAAGGAACUGCGGCACACAGCGCCGGCCCUGAGCUCGCCGGCAGUGAGCACGGGCCCCUCAAUGAGGGAGGUGACAAAGUCCUUGCCCUUUUCACUCUUUGCUGUUGAAGAUGCACCAUCACGGCCGGCCCGGCUCCUGAGAGGGAUUUGCCAAACCCGAGAACCAAAGAGCAGACGAGGAAGAGAGGAUGAGGCGAGUGAAGGGACGGCGAGACCCGUUCUUGUGCUGGUGUCAGGGAAUAGAUUGGAUGAAUCUAUCUUCAUUAGGAUGAUGCAGGAAAGAGAGGGAUUCGAUUGAGGAGGGGCACUCCUAUGUGUGUAUGUGUGUCUUUUGUUGUGCCCCAUUUGCCGAUUUUUCAAUGUUUUGAGUUUUUCAAGUAUGCGAUAGCAAACAUCUAAAUGGAAAAUGGAAUAUUCAUUUUAAUUUGAGUAUUUCCACAGUCUCAGCUAUGACGAAAUGAUUAAAAAAGACUUUUAGGUGUGCCUUAUAGUGCGAAAAAUACGGUAACAGACAAAUCCAAUAUCUAUCAAUAUUAUUAAGCAUGUUUCAGCCUCAUAUUGGAAAUUAAAUUAUCAUAUUGGUCAGGUUAAACACCAAACAAACCAGUAAAAGAUAUAAAUAAUGAUAAAAAAAACUGGCCACUUCAUUAUUGCACCUCCUUGUUUCUACACAUUUUACUACCCAUUUUUUCAGCUCUACUGUCCAUAUAGGGGUAUUCCUAUAAUUCUAUAGUUCUAUAAUUACAAACUGUAGACCUGUAGAAUUGUAAACUGUUUCUUUUCUAGGGCCAUUCCAACAAAAUGUGCACACAACACAAAAUACAUUUAAAAUACAUUUUAUUAUUAAGUAUAGUGUCUUGUGCAUUGACCUAAUUGCAAAAGUAAGACAUGUAAUUACAAACAUUAAUACUUAUACUAAACAAUAACACUGAACAUAUAUAUAUAUAUAUAUGUAUAUAUAUAUAUAUAUUUUUUUUUUUUUUUGCAUUGUUGUGACUCCAAAUCCUCUCUAUGCUUUAAAAAUAUAUAUUUUUUAUAAUAAAUCCAUAAUAUUUAAUAAAAAAAAAUACACAUUUCAGUUGUGUCCUUGGGUUUCACUCAUUCCUGUUACCGUAACACAUUACCCCAUCUGAAAACAUCUGGAACAUUCUACAACAAGUCACAUCUACAACAGGAAGUGACAUCAACUGCUUCUUCUGAAGAUCAUGGAAAGACCAAAAUUAAGUUCCCUCAUUUGUUUUUUUGUAUAUUUGGUCUUAUUGUAACUAUGACUGAGGAGAUCAAUCUCAACACUCACUCCUGUUACCUUAAUUAAUUCUUAGAUCUUAUUUGUUUAUUUUUUAAUACAAAUAAUACAAAUAAUACAACGUUUGGGAAAUAUAUAGAAUGUGUUCAGUGUCCUCAAGCUAUGUUUCAUGUUUUAGCUAAUUCCAUGCUAAAAACUCAUUCCUGUUACUCAAAACAUAAAAAGUAACAGGAGUGAGUGCCAGUAACAGCAGUGAGUUCCAGUAACAGCAACGAGUAACAGUAACAGGAGUGAGUUCCUGUUACAGGAGUGAGUACCAGUAACAGGAAUGAGUUUUGUCCCCUGAUUUAUUGAUUUUAUCAAAUGUGAAUAUUAGUUCUUGUAUACCACUUUUUUUUCCAAUUCUGUUUGAUUCAUCGUUUAUCUAUUUGUUUACUAAAUUGCAUGAUAAUAAAUAUGAUCAAUUUCA